GCAUAAGUAGCUCAGAGUCAGAGCGUCAGUCUUGUAAACUGAAUGCCAGGGGUUAAAUCCCCCUCUUUUGCU
Molecule: transfer RNA, 72 nt
Filed under: Ostracion solorense (reticulate boxfish)
Lineage: Eukaryota; Metazoa; Chordata; Actinopteri; Tetraodontiformes; Ostraciidae
Also listed under: 1 other name
Description: tRNA-Thr
Rfam family: tRNA
About the family: Transfer RNA (tRNA) molecules are approximately 80 nucleotides in length. Their secondary structure includes four short double-helical elements and three loops (D, anti-codon, and T loops). Further hydrogen bonds mediate the characteristic L-shaped molecular structure. tRNAs have two regions of fundamental functional importance: the anti-codon, which is responsible for specific mRNA codon recognition, and the 3' end, to which the tRNAs corresponding amino acid is attached (by aminoacyl-tRNA synthetases). tRNAs cope with the degeneracy of the genetic code in two manners: having more than one tRNA (with a specific anti-codon) for a particular amino acid; and 'wobble' base-pairing, i.e. permitting non-standard base-pairing at the 3rd anti-codon position.
Source: RNAcentral